CAGAAACAGAACUCAGCUCACUAAGUAGAGUUGGAUAAAGAUAUGGACUUACCUUUAAAGCUCUGCCAGAUGGCUCUUUCCACAAGACCGAAGUCAUUUGCAUUUACUGUCGCUGUGUGAGACCCGGCAGCUCUACAGCGAUGCAUUUAUUUUUGGGACAUUCGGGGACUCUCCUAUCUUACAGAGAAGAUCUGUAUGUUUUAUUUUUGGGACAUUUGGGGACUCUCCUAUCUUACAGAGAAGAUCUACAUGUUUUCAGAGACUAUCCUGAUUCAAUCCCCUAAAAAACAGGUAAUCAGCCAUUAGGUUAAACUCUGGGCAUUUCUGUUACCAGCUGACAAUGCUAAGAUGUAUGCUGCGUCUGUAUCUCUGUCCAGCUGAACUGAAAGGGUCCGAUCAGAAGCCUGCCUCCUCGCCGUGAGGAUGACAAAAGAGGUAUGGAAAGUGUCUCUUGUACACGGAUAAGAUACAUGAAGACUCUAGUCAUGCUGGACUAGCUGACUUUCACCAAAGUUGUUUUUCUGACUUGAUGUCUUUACUUUCCUUUCAGUUUGCCUUUCUGAUACUUCAUCUACUGCUGAUCUGACAGUGAAUAUGUGUCCUAGGAUGUUUUCACACCCGAAAGGGCGAACCAAGGUCCAAACCAAGGUCCAUGUUUUUGUAACAUUGUAUACAUUUGGUUCAGUCUAUCCAGGUUUCACAUUGUAGUUAUUGCAAACGGACUAACAGACUUUACAUUACAAACCUACGUGAUAUCAUACUAUGUGCUUUGCGUGUCUCUUUACUUUGCAUUAAUUGGUCAUUUGGCCAGUGGGCGUCUGAUGUCGACACAUUGAAUAAUGC
Xyrichtys novacula (pearly razorfish) is the source of this 843-nucleotide non-coding RNA. NCBI's taxonomy places the organism in Eukaryota, Metazoa, Chordata, Actinopteri, Labriformes, Labridae. The record is from the annotation of a GenBank genome assembly.